GAUGAACGCUGGCGGCGUGCCUAAUACAUGCAAGUCGAACGAAACUUCUUUAUCACCGAGUGCUUGCACUCACCGAUAAAGAGUUGAGUGGCGAACGGGUGAGUAACACGUGGGCAACCUGCCCAAAAGAGGGGGAUAACACUUGGAAACAGGUGCUAAUACCGCAUAACCAUAGUUACCGCAUGGUAACUAUGUAAAAGGUGGCUAUACUACCGCUUUUGGAUGGGCCCGCGGCGCAUUAGCUAGUUGGUAGGGUAAAGGCUUACCAAGGCAAUGAUGCGUAGCCGAAUUGAGAGGUUGAUCGGCCACAUUGGGACUGAGACACGGCCCAAACUCCUACGGGAGGCAGCAGUAGGGAAUCUUCCACAAUGGGCGAAAGCCUGAUGGAGCAACGCCGCGUGGGUGAAGAAGGUAUUCGGAUCGUAAAACCCUGUUGUUAGAGAAGAAAGUGCGUGAGAGUAACUGUUCACGUUUCGACGGUAUCUAACCAGAAAGCCACGGCUAACUACGUG
Molecule: ribosomal RNA, 512 nt
Filed under: uncultured bacterium
Lineage: Bacteria
Description: partial 16S ribosomal RNA
Rfam family: Bacterial small subunit ribosomal RNA
Source: RNAcentral